RNAcentral lists this ribosomal RNA (541 nucleotides) under uncultured bacterium. Its description in RNAcentral is "bacterial SSU rRNA". It matches the Rfam family "Bacterial small subunit ribosomal RNA", at positions 382 to 916 of the family's 1533-position model. The record is from RNAcentral.
CCUGACGCAGCGACGCCGCGUGAGUGAGGAAGGCCUUCGGGUCGUAAAGCUCUGUCAAGAGGAAAGAAGUGCAUAAUGGUUAAUACCUGUUAUGUUUGACGGUACCUCUAAAGGAAGCACCGGCUAACUCCGUGCCAGCAGCCGCGGUAAUACGGAGGGUGCAAGCGUUGUUCGGAAUCACUGGGCGUAAAGGGCGCGCAGGCGGUAUGGUAAGUCAGAUGUGAAAGCCCACGGCUUAACCGUGGGAGGGCAUUUGAAACUGCCAGACUUGAGUACCAGAGGGGAAAGUGGAAUUCCAAGUGUAGCGGUGGAAUGCGCAGAUAUUUGGAAGAACACCGGUGGCGAAGGCGGCCUUCUGGGCCACAACUGACGCUGAGGAGCGAAAGCUAGGGGAGCGAACAGGAUUAGAUACCCUGGUAGUCCUAGCCGUAAACGAUGGACACUAGGUGUGGGGGGAUUUGCCCUCCGUGCCGCAGCUAACGCAUUAAGUGUCCCGCCUGGGGAGUACGGCCGCAAGGCUAAAACUCAAAGGAAUUGACGG